GUGAGACCAGAGGAAGAAAAAAAAUGACUUCCUUUCCUGUUGGAAACCUAAUAAGUAGUUAGUCUGACCCAGUUUUCAAUAAGAGAGAUUUUCUGAUGACCCGACAGGAGUGACUGUCUCCAGUCAAAGAAAGAGGAGGGUGAAUUUAAUCUUUCAUGCCACUGGAAUGGCAGCUGCUCUCAGCUCUCUCUGAUUCUGUGAAGGAUGAUGAAGAUAGGACUGGAUUUCAAUGUAGGGAGAAUUUUCCUGUUGAAUAUUCCAAACGAGAGCUUUGCACAUGUGCUUCAAGAACUAAUUGUCUAGGUUCCGUCAGGAAUGCAGCAGGAGAGGAGCGUAUUUCACGCUUAAGACCAGAGAAGAGCCACGCAAUACUCAGUGGAUAAAAGGCUUGCAGUCCCAGCUGGGAAAAAGAGUCCCAUUAUCUCCCAGCUGCAUAGACAUUCCAUACGGCUUGGUUCUGCCUGGAUGCACAGCAUGCCUGGCUGAGAGCUUGAAACAGAGUUCUGCAGAAAAAUUGUAAAGAUCCCGAGACAUUUCCCUGACUCUUGAGAUACUGACUGGAAGAUAGACUUUUUUUCCUGUUGAUUGUAUGGGAGAAAUUUUUGACCUUAGAAAGUGGAGAUGAGGUUGCUAUGGAAACUGAUAAUUCUGCUGCCACUCAUCAACUCUUGUGCAGGUGAUGGACUUUUCAGCCGCCCUAUUUUUACUCAGGAGCCGGAAGAUGUCAUUUUUCCUUUGGAUUUAUCAAAAUCUGAAAUCAUCUUGAAUUGUGCUGCUAGUGGUUACCCUUCACCCCAUUAUAGGUAAAA
Molecule: long non-coding RNA, 809 nt
Organism: Propithecus coquereli (Coquerel's sifaka)
Lineage: Eukaryota; Metazoa; Chordata; Mammalia; Primates; Indriidae
Exons: 3
Source: RefSeq, a predicted model, not a curated record